Non-coding RNA from Lonchura striata (white-rumped munia), 458 nucleotides. NCBI's taxonomy places the organism in Eukaryota, Metazoa, Chordata, Aves, Passeriformes, Estrildidae. The record is from RefSeq and is a predicted model, not a curated record.
AGAGAUCUUGAUGCAGACGCCCUUUUGGAUUUCUUUUUAAUAGUGUGUGACCCUUCACCUUUGAUCCCUUGACCUGCAUUACUUUGGUUUGGCUUGUCUGCUUUUCAGCUCUUCUAGACAUUGGAAAUUCCAGUUUGUGUUUAUUUUCUCUGGAUUCCUUCCCACAAGACAGAAGUGAAUUCAGCAUGGAUUAUUGGGGAGAACCUUGGCUGGGAAUAAGGAUAAUUGCAGCCUCUGGCUGUGCCACAGUUUCACUGAUGAUUUCUUUUAAGUUACUCACCUGCACUGUAUCUGUUUCCUCAGCUGUAAAAUGUGGGUAAUUACCUCCAUUGUAAAAUGUUACAGGGUCUGCUGGUAAUUAUAUGAACGAAGUGCUAAUUACAGUGAUUAUCCCUUGGACCUAGUCUAGAUCUGGCUGAUGUUCCUGUUGUGAUGAACGUAUGAAACAAAUACUACAA